This 464-nucleotide ribosomal RNA is filed under the name uncultured bacterium. RNAcentral describes it as "partial 16S ribosomal RNA". It matches the Rfam family "Bacterial small subunit ribosomal RNA", at positions 28 to 507 of the family's 1533-position model. The record is from RNAcentral.
GACGAACGCUGGCGGCGUGCUUAACACAUGCAAGUCGAACGGUAAGGCCCCAGCUUGCUGGGGUACACGAGUGGCGAACGGGUGAGUAACCUGUGGGUGACCUGCCCCGCACUUCGGGAUAAGCCUGGGAAACUGGGUCUAAUACCGGAUACGACCGCGCCGUGGGGGUGUGGUGGAAAGUUUCUCGGUGUGGGAUGGGCCCGCGGCCUAUGAGCUUGUUGGUGGGGUAAUGGCCUACCAAGGCGGCGACGGGUAGCCGGCCUGAGAGGGUGGACGGUCACAUGGGGACUGCGACACGGCCCAGACUCCUACGGGAGGCAGCAGUGGGGAAUAUUGCACAGUGGGCGGAAGCCUGAUGCAGCGACGCCGCGUGGGGGAUGACGGCCUUCGGGUUGUAAACGCCUUUCACCAUCGACGAAGGUUUUCUGACGGUAGAUGGAGAAGAAGCACCGGCUAACUACGUG